UUCGUUCACGUCCCCGGCCUCGUCAUCUGCCUGUUCCUCGUCCUCUUCUUCGUCGCUGUCCUCGUCUUUGUCCUCGUCGUCGCCGCUUCAAGCCACGUCCACUUCCGCCGAGUCGAGCAUACCGCGAACGUGCAGGGCGUCCAGGCCCAAGAAGCAAUUCAUCUGCAAGUUUUGCAGCCGACAAUUCACGAAAAGCUACAAUCUGCUGAUACACGAAAGAACGCACACCGACGAGCGGCCGUACUCGUGCGACAUUUGUGGAAAGGCUUUCCGACGGCAGGAUCACCUGAGGGAUCAUAGGUACAUUCACAGCAAGGAAAAACCGUUCAAAUGCGCGGAAUGCGGCAAGGGAUUCUGCCAAAGCAGAACCCUCGCGGUACACAAGAUUCUACACAUGGAGGAAUCGCCCCAUAAGUGUCCCGUAUGCGCCAGGAGUUUCAACCAGAGGAGCAACCUGAAGACCCACCUUCUCACGCACACGGACAUCAAACCUUACCAUUGUGCAUCCUGCGGCAAGGUGUUCCGCAGGAACUGCGACCUCAGGAGGCACUCGUUGACUCACAAUUUGGGUGUAUCGACGUCACCGCCGCCGCCGGGGAUACCUGUGCCCGGCACCGGGGCCGUGGUGCUACAAGAGACGUCCUAGUGUUCCGUCCACCGAUCGCGGCAAGUCUGGCAUUGUACUAGGAAAAUUUAUUCACGUACGGACUCGAGUAAAAUUUUCAGGCUGGUCGUUCGGAAGGUUCAUACGACGGUUCAUACAUACAGUGAAACUCUAUUUAUUGGAACGAAAUUUCAUCUAGUGCUCGAGUAAAUGAUCUCCUGCCGAUUAAAUUCUUUUAGAUUCGAUGCGAGUUUUGUCGCGCGAACGUUCCGUUAAAGUAUUGAAUUAUACAGCGAAAUAUACACGAGCAGGCCUAUUUUUUAUUUUGUUAUCGCUCUCUAUAAAAGAUCGCUCGUCUACAUCGAUAUUUGUCCCAAUGUUGAUUUCUAUUAUAUAAACGAAAAAUCUUAUAAAUAGUAGAGAGAAUCAGCGAACUCCUAUUAUGUGAACUACUUGCAUCCUCACAGGUUCAGAUAAAUGGAGUUCUACCGUGAGUUGGUACGUCGGUGAUGUUACUUUUUGAUAUAUCGAUCGUGAUCUAAUAUGGUUCAAGAGUGGAUUGGUUAAUAUUGGGAGUUAUCCGAAACAAGAGGAUAGAUAAUGGAGACUCGUGCGAGUUAAGCGGACCUUCCGUCCUUGAUUUUUAGUGUGUUUUUAGCUGCGUAUGUAUUUCGUAGUUGUUAAUACAUAGGGUAU
This 1300-nucleotide unclassified non-coding RNA is filed under the name Bombus terrestris (buff-tailed bumblebee). RNAcentral's name for it is "misc RNA ENSBTSG00005031421.1". Lineage: Eukaryota; Metazoa; Arthropoda; Insecta; Hymenoptera; Apidae. The record is from RNAcentral.